RNAcentral lists this long non-coding RNA (781 nucleotides) under Cricetulus griseus (Chinese hamster). RNAcentral's name for it is "lncRNA (ENSCGRG00015012520.2)". The record is from RNAcentral. Lineage: Eukaryota; Metazoa; Chordata; Mammalia; Rodentia; Cricetidae.
UGUAACUAUUGUCGCCUGUGGAUGAGCUAAUGGAUUCACUUUGAGCUCGUAGAAAGGACACGGUGUCGUGGGGAUCCCAGGCAGUCCUCUGACAUCUGACAUACCGCCAGCUUGCCUAAGGAUGUUAUUUCUUUGAGGGGGGCGUCAAGACACAAAACCUUUUCCUUUAAGGGAUUUGCUCACCCAGGAGGAGAUUUGAUGGUACUUACGGACUGGGGCUUCACUCCGCAUCUGCCUCUCCGUGAGAGCCUGUCUCCCCAGGCUGGCUGGUCCUCAGGACACAGGUGCUGCUGUUGUGGCUGCGUGCAUCCUAUGUGUGGCGACUCCACCUUCCAGCUAAAAUCCCAGCAAAGGGUCUCAUCCGGAGGCCCCGGGGCACACUUCUUUCAUCCGUGUGCCUUCCCUCGUUCUCUCGGGGUCCAGAGCAGCGAGGAAGGAAUGAAGAACCUGGGUCUGCCACCGUCUGUCGGUCCUCACCGCUGCAUCUCAGCUAAGGCUGCAGAAGUCAGUGCAGUAGCGGAACUGGCUAGGGCUCCUCGCGGUUGCCACGGUAACCAGGAGCAGGCUCCUGCCCUGGUGGCGGAGGAAGGCUGUGGAGAAAAGGUGCUUCUACCAAGGAAAGGAAAUGAGAGCAAGGGCUUGCAAUUCAGAAACUCUACCCUUUCUUUCAAACCCUGUGUGGAAGUGAGUAAUGGUGACACCUGCUUCCUGAUGGCACUAGGGAUUCAGCAGAGAAAUGGCAGCUGGACCCGACUACUGCCCAACGGAUUGCUGAUGACUG